Long non-coding RNA from Sarcophilus harrisii (Tasmanian devil), 3294 nucleotides. RefSeq lists it as uncharacterized. The record is from RefSeq and is a predicted model, not a curated record. NCBI's taxonomy places the organism in Eukaryota, Metazoa, Chordata, Mammalia, Dasyuromorphia, Dasyuridae. The transcript is spliced from 4 exons.
UAUGGUAACAAAGACAAUCAAAAUGCUCACUGAGAAGAAGAUAGCAAAGUAAUAGCUCCUACCUGCAAUGCCUCCCAGGAAAAUAUGAAUUGGGCUAAGGCCAUGGAAGAGUUCAAAAAGGAUUUUGAAAAUUAAGUUAGCAUGAAUGAAGAGUGCCUGAAAAAGAGGAGAGUGAAGUAAGCCUAGAAGUUGAGCUGGAGCCAGUGUGACAAUCUGAAAUGGCAAAGGCCUACCACAAAGUCAGACUCAUAGGAAGCAAUGCUGCUGACUGUUUGAAGGAUACUCCUAUGUAAGGCAGAAGCAAAACAGAACUGAGGACAAAAUGAAUGGCAAGAACAACAUUGAAUACGUGCCAGGAUCAAAGGAGAAAAUCCAUCAGCGAAGAGAAGGGUUCAAAACACAUUCUAAGAGCAGAGAGGUGAAAGCUAAUUCAAUGAGAUACAGUUGGAAAAAAACAAAACAUGAAGAGUAUUAAUAUAUUCCAGUAUCUGUGCAAAACAACAACAACAACAACAACAACAAAAACAGUGGUUUCACAAAGAGUCUGACAUGACUGAAAUAAUGAAUGAAAAACAACCUUUUUUUUUUUUAAUUUCAGCUUUCUCUAACAAUGAUGUUAAUGUUCUUAAGAAAAGAAAUGUAUUAAUAUUUACUUACAGUACAUACAGGAAAGGCAAGUUUGAUUAUAUAUUAGAAAUAUUUUUUAAACCACAUUUACUAGAAAUUUUUUUGAAUUAUCUUAUUCUUAAAUAAUAAUCUCUUUUAGAAUUCUGAACUACUUUCUUUACAAUAAGCUUAUAAAGUAGGUAUUAUUAUCACUUUUUCUGAUGAAGAUAAUAGUUCAAGAUGAGUAAUAUGUCAUAAAAUUCAAAUGGGUAAUGCAUAGUUGCUCUGGGUAUGAAAUCCAAAUCACUACUAGUCCAUAGUCCUAUCUAUGACAUUAUUCUUUCUUUCAAUAAAGGCAUGUUUUAAAAAUGCCAUGUAAUUGUUAUGAAGAAAAUCAGGACUGUGACAUUUUGAGAUAGUUGGGGUUGUUCUUGUUGGUUUUGGUUUAUUUCUUUUUGUUUCUUUGCGACUGAAUCUUGUGCUCUUUUUUAUAAGAAAAUGUCCAAUUUCUAUGCAAAGUAAUCUACUUCAUUAAUUUUGGUUGGAGACAAUCAUGGGGUUUCAGAAACUAGGGGAUAAACAUCAAGCUGGUGCUAAAAAAAAAUGGGGAAUAAUAAUUUGUAAGUAGAAACCAUUAAAAUUAAAUACCUUUAUCUGAAGAAUGAAAUGAAGACAUUUAACCAAACUUUUUCUCCUUCACUCACUUUGGGAUUUCAAACAUUUGAAGAAUGUUGUCUUAUGAUUUUCUCAGUAAUAAAAAUCCACACCUAAUUUGACAUGAUUUCUUUGGCAGUUAAUAACAACAUGUUAUGUAGUUUAAUGAGUUUGCAAACUAAAUAAUGGCUGUAUGGGGGCGAAAAUAGGGAUAUUUAAAUGCAUAAGGUAAUUUAAAUUUCAUCCCAGUGGCCAUGUAAAUAGAAUUCUGAUUCUCUUAUAAAUUCCAAGUGCUUUCUUGUGUAUACACAUGGUGAAAAAUCUAGUCAUGCAUCCAUAUAGAUAGCUCAUUAUCAUAUUUGAAAAUACCCAUUGCUUGUCUAUCAACCACUUAGCAGGUCCAUUAAAAUGCUUACUUUGUUUUACCAACAGCAAAGCAAAUAGAAAAAUAAUCCUCAUUUAUCAGUAUUUAUACUUUGGUUUUAAAGACAGCUGUACUGAUGAGAACUAUUUAAAAAUACAUCUCUACUUAUUUUGAUAAAAAGCUUUUAAGUAUAACCCUUCUGUCAAAUAAAAUGUCCUUUGAAAGCCUCAUUACCAGAAUAAAUUCUAUUGUAUACAGACUAAAGUGAAAAGACCCAAGCAAGAAAUUAUAUAUAAUGGGCAUUUGGAGAUUGAAGGAUAAUUGAUUUUUUCUAGAAUUCUUAGCCCUUUGGUGUAACAAUGUUUAAUUAUUAUUUAUGCCUUUCAUUAAAAAAAAGUUUGCUAAAAAUUUUACCACAAUAAAUAAAGAAAGAAAAGCAAAGCUAGACUAUUUCUUGAAUAAAAUCAAGACAAACCUUCUGAACAUCCUUAAAAAGUUUAUAUAAAUUGUUAAUUUUCAGGUUUUGUCUGUAUGUAAAGUUAAUAUAUAUUCAAAAAGCAGCUUUAAAAGGCUAUGUAGUCCAUUCUUAUCAUUACUUAUUUCUUCUUCUUUCUAAUUUUAGGAUAAAAGUUGUUAGAAUUUCCAAAGAGUUGAGUUGCAAUGAAUAGGCUUGCAAAAAUGGAUGAAGCAUUUCAUGGCACUGGAAAACAUGGGCUUAUAUUUUGGGUAGCUACUACCCAGAGAAUAGAGGUGGCUAUUUUGUUAAUAGCCUAAAAUUAGACUUCCUUUAGAGACGUAAUAAUGAAAAAAAAGAAAGUAUUGCUGAAUUAAAAGAUCCUUUAGGGCAAAGACACUUCCUGAUUUAUUUUUAUAAUUUUUCUAAUACCUGUAACAAUAUACUGAAUGCAUUAGGUACUAAAUAGAUGUUUGUGAAAUGAGUGAAAAUGAAUGAGUUGAAUGAAUAAAUUCAACUAAAUCACAAAUAACUCACUUAAACUUAUGUAAUAAAUAAAGUCUAAAGUGGAAUUAGAAAACUGUGAGUUUGAAUUUUGCCUUACAUAUUUUCUAGCAAUGUGACUCUUACCAAUUCACUUAAACUUUUAGUUGAAGUUUUCUCAUUUGUAAAAGCCGAAUGAAAUAUCACUUAAGAUUGUAUGAUGAUUAAAUGAAAUACAAAUGAGAUUAAAUGAGAUAUAUACACUUUGUAAACCUUAACAUGCUCUAUUAACAUUAUCAUUAAAAGCUUAAUUCUAUAUUAAUAAAAUGCCACAAAUAUUGAACUUGGGUGAGAGAAUGCAAAAAGUAGAAAAUAUGAGAGGGAAUAAAUGAAUAAGAAUAAAAUGAAAAUUUGAGAACCAAAUCCAAGAGAAAUUCUGAAAAUCAUUUGACGCUGCUUAGUUUUAGGAAAAGAUCUCAUAAAGACAGAUGCUUCACUUGAAAAUGAUGUAGAUAGAUCUGGGAUUAAUUUGAUGGUUUUAUCUGUCAGAGAAUCAAGAAAAAAGUUGCUAGAAACCAAAAAUGUUGGAACAUGAUUUGUAAACAUUACUAGAAUGUAAGUGGCCUUGCCAGGAAUAGUAUAUUAUUCUUCCAGAUUACUUUCUGUCCCAUAGACAGAUUUAAGAAAAUAAUUUAAUAGAAAUAAAAUGAGAGUAAAGAUCAGUUAUUCUUAA